RNAcentral lists this ribosomal RNA (252 nucleotides) under uncultured bacterium. RNAcentral describes it as "partial 16S ribosomal RNA". It matches the Rfam family "Bacterial small subunit ribosomal RNA", at positions 524 to 776 of the family's 1533-position model. The record is from RNAcentral.
UACGUAGGUCCCGAGCGUUGUCCGGAUUUAUUGGGCGUAAAGCGAGCGCAGGUGGUUUAUUAAGUCUGGUGUAAAAGGCAGUGGCACAACCAUUGUAUGCAUUGGAAACUGGUAGACUUGAGUGCAGGAGAGGAGAGUGGAAUUCCAUGUGUAGCGGUGAAAUGCGUAGAUAUAUGGAGGAACACCGGUGGCGAAAGCGGCUCUCUGGCCUGUAACUGACACUGGGGCUCGAAAGCGUGGGGAGCAAACAGG